AGCAGCCGCGGUAAUUCCAGCUCCAAUAGCGUAUAUUAAAGUUGUUGCAGUUAAAAAGCUCGUAGUUGAAUUUCGAGAUCAGUACGCUGGUCGUGCCUUCGGUAUGCACUGGUGUCACUGGUUUCUCCCUUCUGAAGAACCGUUAUGUCAUUAAGUUGGUGUGGCGGGGAAUCAGGACUGUUACUUUGAAAAAUUAGAGUGUUUAAAGCAGGCUCGCGCUUGAAUACAUUAGCAUGGAAUAAUGAAAUAGGACGUUUGACCCUAUUUUGUUGGUUUCUAGGAUCGACGUAAUGAUUAAUAGGGAUAGUUGGGGGCAUUAGUAUUCAAUUGUCAGAGGUGAAAUUCUUGGAUUUAUUGAAGACUAACUACUGCGAAAGCAUUUGCCAAGGAUGUUUUCAUUAAUCAAGAACGAAAGUUAGGGGAUCGAAGACGAUCAGAUACCGUCGUAGUCUUAACCAUAAACUAUGCCGACUAGGGAUCGGAUGAUGUUAAUUUUUUAAUGACUCA
RNAcentral lists this ribosomal RNA (507 nucleotides) under uncultured Glomeraceae. RNAcentral's name for it is "SSU rRNA". It matches the Rfam family "Eukaryotic small subunit ribosomal RNA", at positions 569 to 1078 of the family's 1831-position model. The record is from RNAcentral. Lineage: Eukaryota; Fungi; Glomeromycota; Glomeromycetes; Glomerales; Glomeraceae.